Molecule: ribosomal RNA, 417 nt
Filed under: uncultured bacterium
Lineage: Bacteria
Description: bacterial SSU rRNA
Rfam family: Bacterial small subunit ribosomal RNA
Source: RNAcentral
UAUUGGUCAAUGGGCGGGAGCCUGAACCAGCCAAGUCGCGUGAGGGAUUAAGGCCCUACGGGUCGUAAACCUCUUUUGCCGGGGAGCAGGGCGGCGGACGUGUCCGCCGUUUGAGAGUACCCGGAGAAAAAGCAUCGGCUAACUCCGUGCCAGCCGCCGCGGUAAUACGGAGGAUGCGAGCGUUAUCCGGAUUUAUUGGGUUUAAAGGGUGCGUAGGCGGGCUCUUAAGUCAGCGGUAAAAAUUCGGGGCUCAACCCCGUCCGGCCGUUGAAACUGGGGGCCUUGAGUGGGCGAGAAGAAGGCGGAAUGCGUGGUGUAGCGGUGAAAUGCAUAGAUAUCACGCAGAACACCGAUUGCGAAGGCAUCUCACGAACCCGCGAUUGACGCUGAUGCACGAAAGCGUGGGUAUCAAACAGG